RNAcentral lists this non-coding RNA (889 nucleotides) under Schistocephalus solidus. RNAcentral's name for it is "Eukaryotic large subunit ribosomal RNA". It matches the Rfam family "Eukaryotic large subunit ribosomal RNA", at positions 1 to 640 of the family's 3401-position model. The record is from Rfam by way of RNAcentral. Lineage: Eukaryota; Metazoa; Platyhelminthes; Cestoda; Diphyllobothriidea; Diphyllobothriidae.
UGACCUGGGAUCAGUCGUGAUUACACGCUGAACUUAAGCAUAUCACUAAGCGGAGGAAAAUAAACUACUCAGGAUUCACCUAGUAACGGCGAGUGAAUAAGGAAUAGCCCAGCACAGAAGCCUGCGGUAGGUUAACUUCAAGACAAUGUGGUGUUCGGGUCGACUGGCGGGAUUGCUACUCCACUUGAAGUCCAGCAUUGGGUAUGGUUCACUGGCUUUUGCCCAGAGAGGGUGAAAGGCCCGAGCGAGUGUAGGUUAAGACAUGUGAGGCAAUUUGCCAGGUUGACAUUCGAGUCUAGUUGUGUGGGAAUGCAGCCCAAAGUGGGUGGUAAAAUCCAUCUAAGGCUAAUUACAAGCCAAAUUCCGAUAACGAACAAGUACCGUGACGGAAAGUUAAAAAGUACUUUGUAAAGAGAGAGCGAGAGAGUUAACAGUACGUGAAACCGCAUAUAGGUAAACGAAAGGCGUCAAGCUUGUAGGUAUUUGUAAAAUUUACAUCUUUGUAUAUUUCUUGUUCACCUGAAUCUUUAUGAUCCCUUGUUUUAAUGUGCUUAAUAAAAACACAACAGCCAGCUUCAACCGGGCGAUUGGCUAAUUGCACAAUUUGCGGAACGUAUGCGGCACAGCGCCAAUUCCACACAACCAGAAAAACCAAUACAAUUUACGAUAUACCAAUUUCCUGCAAACGGAAGUACGGCACUAAAACAAACUAACAUAAAAAUAUAAAGAAAACCAAAAAGACUAAUAAAGGACAUAAGGGAAAAACAAUCAAUCAAAACAUUGAUAUUUAAUUUAAUAAGGCAUAUAUUACUGCCAUAUCUAUCUUACUACCGUCAAUACCUACCGUUAGCAGUCCCAUCCUCAGUUCACCAUGUCUACUCACCGACGC